GACGAACCGUACGAACGUUAUUCGGAAUCACUGGGCUUAAAGGGUGCGUAGGCGGUGCGGAAAGUUGGGUGUGAAAUCCCUCGGCUCAACCGAGGAAUUGCGCCCAAAACUACCGUGCUCGAGGGAGACAGAGGUGAGUGGAACUUAGGGUGGAGCGGUGAAAUGCGUUGAUAUCCUAAGGAACACCAGUGGCGCAAGCGACUCACUGGGUCUCUUCUGGCGCUGAGGCACGAAAGCUAGGGGGGCAAACGGG
Molecule: ribosomal RNA, 253 nt
Filed under: uncultured bacterium
Lineage: Bacteria
Description: partial 16S ribosomal RNA
Rfam family: Bacterial small subunit ribosomal RNA
Source: RNAcentral